This 866-nucleotide ribosomal RNA is filed under the name uncultured bacterium. RNAcentral's name for it is "bacterial SSU rRNA". It matches the Rfam family "Bacterial small subunit ribosomal RNA", at positions 44 to 889 of the family's 1533-position model. The record is from RNAcentral.
AGGCCUAACACAUGCAAGUCGAGCGGUAGCGGGCCUGACCACUCUCGAGUGGUUCAGGUGCCGACGAGCGGCGGACGGGUGCGUAACACGUAGGAAUCUGCCCGGUAGUGGGGGAUAGCCCGGAGAAAUUCGGAUUAAUACCGCAUACGCCCUAAGGGGGAAAGCAGGGGAUCUUCGGACCUUGCGCUAUCGGAUGAGCCUGCGUCGGAUUAGCUAGUUGGUGGGGUAAAGGCCUACCAAGGCGACGAUCCGUAGCUGGUCUGAGAGGAUGAUCAGCCACACUGGGACUGAGACACGGCCCAGACUCCUACGGGAGGCAGCAGUGGGGAAUAUUGCACAAUGGGCGAAAGCCUGAUGCAGCCAUGCCGCGUGUGUGAAGAAGGCCCUAGGGUUGUAAAGCACUUUCAGUGGGGAGGAAAGGCCAAAAGGUUAAUACCCUUUGGCUGUGACGUUACCCACAGAAGAAGCACCGGCUAACUCCGUGCCAGCAGCCGCGGUAAUACGGAGGGUGCGAGCGUUAAUCGGAAUUACUGGGCGUAAAGCGUGCGUAGGCGGCCAUUUAAGUUGGAUGUGAAAGCCCCGGGCUCAACCUGGGAACUGCAUCCAAAACUGGGUGGCUUGAGUGCGAGAGAGGAGUGUGGAAUUUCCUGUGUAGCGGUGAAAUGCGUAGAUAUAGGAAGGAACACCAGUGGCGAAGGCGACACUCUGGCUUGACACUGACGCUGAGGUACGAAAGCGUGGGGAGCAAACAGGAUUAGAUACCCUGGUAGUCCACGCCGUAAACGAUGUCUACUAGUUGUCGGUGGUCUUGUACUGCUGGUAACGCAGCUAACGCGAUAAGUAGACCGCCUGGGGAGUACGGCCGC